Molecule: long non-coding RNA, 1529 nt
Organism: Oncorhynchus gorbuscha (pink salmon)
Lineage: Eukaryota; Metazoa; Chordata; Actinopteri; Salmoniformes; Salmonidae
Exons: 4
Source: RefSeq, a predicted model, not a curated record
GUAUGGUACCACCAGUAUUUAUAUUUUUGCCCUUGAAGUGUUUGGCUUCUUAUCACCACCAGAGGGUGGACAUGCAUUGAUUGUAUUGUAUGACAAACUGAGAUUGAAAGUGUUGUGUACUAACACCACACUGUUGACGGAGAGCGAACAUUUCAUUUAAUAUAGUGUUGAAUAAAAGUUGACCGAUUUUUUUUUUUUUUUUUUGGAUAAAAGCUCAAGCAAUUCCUAUGGUGAUGGAUAAUGGGCUUGUGUUUUAGUUGGCUAAGGAUGUCGUCAACAGUCUAGACAUCAAACAUCCGUCUAGAAUGACGUCUGAUUCUUGGGCCAGACUACUAAUCUGUCAGCAUGGAGGAAACCACCAUUGUCUUAGGUGCUUGGUGAUGUCAUCAACCCGGGACAAGAGUCAGGGAGAACACCAAGUUUCACAACAUAAACGUUUUCAAUAUAUUCAUUCAAGAAAAGUCACGCCUUGGGAGUUUUAUUGAAGACUUAGUUGUUAGCUAUCUGUCUAGUUUUGCAUGGGAACGCAACUCAAGGGCAGAAUAGUGAAAAAACAUCAUCACAGCGGGCUCAAGCACAAGAAUAACUGCACACGGUGGUUAUGUUUCUACGUUCAUCAGCCAACAAAGCCUCUUAUCCUAGGGAGGACCAGCAGUCUACGAUGCAACAACCAGAGCCAGGUGUUCAACAGAGAGAGAUGGAAGAGCCUCUUCAGCACAUUGGGACCAAGUCUCAAUCUACAAGAUCAAGGUCAUCAAAACAGUCAAGCAGAUCCUCAACGGCGAGUUCUGCAGCCGUCAAAGCACGCACCAAGGCGGAGGCAGCACGUGCACAAGUCUCUUAUGCUGAGAAGGAAGCUUCUGUGAUGAAACAAAAGUCAGAAAUAGAGGCCAGCUUGUUGAAGCAAAAUGCAGAAACAGAGGCCAGCUUGUUGAAGCAAAAAGCUGACCUCGAGGCAAGUUUAUAUGUUCUCCAAGUUGAGAGAACAGCUGCUGCUGCGUUGGCUGAAGCUGCAGCCUUUGAAGAAGUUGUAGGAUCAGAACGCAGAGAGCUUCGCAAAGAACUAGACACCGGGACACAGCCCUUAAGUCCAGUCCAACGUACAUGUGAGUACGUGCAACAACAUGCUAGGCCCUACUUUGCUGAACUUCCAUUUGAAGUGGAGAAACAAGAGCUUAGUGUUGACCCAGCUACAUGCCAUAAUCCAGAAAGUAGCAAACAACAGAACAUGAGCAGAGACUCUCCGUUCAAAAGAAAUGAACAGCAGCAUGGUGGAAAUGGAAAGCAAGCCCACUUCCAGUCACACACACACAACUUCCCUGAGUCACAAGUGGCACCAGACCUCAUCAAGUACCUCCUACGACGUGAGAUGGUGAGUUCAGGACUCCUGAAGUUUGAUGAUCGCCCUGAAUAAUCUGUUACCUUCUAACAGGAUGGCAGCACAAACAGCUUACAGACGGUAGGCAAUUAAGUGAUACAGUUAAGAACAUUUAGGACACUAAAGAGGCCUUUCUACUGAAUCUGAAAAA